AGUGAAAGACGGUCUUGCUGUCACUUAUAGAUGGAUCCGCGCUGCAUUAGCUAGUUGGUAAGGUAACGGCUUACCAAGGCAACGAUGCAUAGCCGACCUGAGAGGGUGAUCGGCCACACUGGAACUGAGACACGGUCCAGACUCCUACGGGAGGCAGCAGUAGGGAAUCUUCCGCAAUGGGCGAAAGCCUGACGGAGCAACGCCGCGUGAGUGAUGAAGGUCUUCGGAUCGUAAAACUCUGUUAUUAGGGAAGAACAUAUGUGUAAG
RNAcentral lists this ribosomal RNA (267 nucleotides) under Staphylococcus aureus. RNAcentral describes it as "partial 16S ribosomal RNA". It matches the Rfam family "Bacterial small subunit ribosomal RNA", at positions 199 to 461 of the family's 1533-position model. The record is from RNAcentral. Lineage: Bacteria; Bacillati; Bacillota; Bacilli; Caryophanales; Staphylococcaceae.